RNAcentral lists this long non-coding RNA (208 nucleotides) under Homo sapiens (human). Its description in RNAcentral is "non-protein coding lnc-ZNF596-1:2". The record is from RNAcentral. Lineage: Eukaryota; Metazoa; Chordata; Mammalia; Primates; Hominidae.
GCCAGGGCUGAACCCCCAAAGGAUAAGGAAGCCUGUGUGUGUACCAACAAUCAAAGCUACAUCUGUGACACAACAGGACACUGCUAUGGGCAGUCUCAGUGUUGUAACUACUACUAUGAACAUUGGUGGUUCUGGCUGGCAUGGACCAUCACCAUCAUCCUGAGCUGCUGCUGUGUCUGCCACCACAGCCAAGCCAGCCCUCAAGUCC